Molecule: ribosomal RNA, 848 nt
Filed under: uncultured bacterium
Lineage: Bacteria
Description: bacterial SSU rRNA
Rfam family: Bacterial small subunit ribosomal RNA
Source: RNAcentral
GGGGGGUAGAAUUCCACGUGUAGCAGUGAAAUGCGUAGAGAUGUGGAGGAAUACCGAUGGCGAAGCCAGCCCCCUGGGCUAACACUGACGCUCAUGCACGAAAGCGUGGGGAGCAAACAGGAUUAGAUACCCUGGUAGUCCACGCCCUAAACGAUGUCUACUAGUUGUUGGUGGAGUAAAAUCCAUUAGUAACGCAGCUAACGCGUGAAGUAGACCGCCUGGGGAGUACGGUCGCAAGAUUAAAACUCAAAAGAAUUGACGGGGGCCCGCCCAAGCGGUGGAUUAUGUGGAUUAAUUCGAUGCAACGCGAAAAACCUUACCUGGCCUUGACAUGCCACUAACGAAGCAGAGAUGCAUUAGGUGCCCGAAAGGGAAAGUGGACACAGGUGCUGCAUGGCUGUUGUCAGCUCGUGUCGUGAGAUGUUGGGUUAAGUCCCGCAACGAGCGCAACCCUUGCCAAUAAUUGCCAUCAUUCAGUUGGGCACUUUAUUGGGACUGCCGGUGACAAACCGGAGGAAGGUGGGGAUGACGUCAAGUCCUCAUGGCCCUUAUGGCCAGGGCUUCACACGUAAUACAAUGGUCGGUACAGAGGGCAGCCAACCCGCGAGGGGGAGCCAAUCCCAGAAAGCCGAUCGUAGUCCGGAUUGCAGUCUGCAACUCGACUGCAUGAAGUCGGAAUCGCUAGUAAUCGCGGAUCAGCAUGUCGCGGUGAAUACGUUCCCGGGCCUUGUACACAGCGCCCGUCACACCAUGGGAGUGGGUUCUACCAGAAGUAGUUAGUCUAACCGCGAGGGGGACGAUUACCACGGUAGGAUUCAUGACUGGGGUGAAGUCGUAACAAGGUAACC